RNA transcript from Malus domestica (apple), 3426 nucleotides. RefSeq lists it as uncharacterized. NCBI's taxonomy places the organism in Eukaryota, Viridiplantae, Streptophyta, Magnoliopsida, Rosales, Rosaceae. The record is from RefSeq and is a predicted model, not a curated record.
GAGACUACAUGACGCAAAGCCCACCGUUAACGUGGCAGUUCGUUGACGCCUGACACGGACUGUUAGGUUCAUCGGUUAGUCCUUUCAAGUUUCCGUCCCCAAACAUUACCACAGAGUCCGAGUCUCUGAGAUCUUCGCCUUCUCUACUGUGAUCGUCUCAAAUCUUCCGAUGGUAAUUUCAUCUGUAAGGGGAUAUGAAAGAAAGGAACUCUACUUCCACCCUUAAGCGAAUUCUAGUGACUUGUGCAGCUCAGGCAAAAGAAUACGGGGGUUGUGUUGCAGCAAAGGUUCCACAAGUUGAACGUGAUAUGUGCUUGAAAGAAUUUCUUGCUUUAAAGAGUUGCAUGCAAAAUGUGCUGCGAGGAAAGCCGUGAGCCAGCAAGUGUGACCUUCUGUGCUUGGAGACAGUAGUUAGGACCAUUUGGAAAAGCCCAGAGCCUGGUUGAGGAUUCCCAUUAUCUGUAGCAGUACUUGCUAAGCCCUGCAAUAACUCUUCAAAAGUCUGAAAAUCAAUCAAACAAGAUGUCUGGAAAAGCAUCAAGUUCACAGUCUAGCAUUGGUUUGAGUGGGUCUGGUGCUCUGUCACAUGUUUAUAUUCCAUAUCUGCCCCUAAGAAGCAGCGUAGCUGGUUCAAAGGGUUUAUUUUAUGAUGAUGGCAAUAAGUUGCUGCUUUCCCCAACAUCAGAUCAGGUCUUCUGUUGGAAAACUGUUCCUUUUGAUCCUGUGGUUACUCCUACUUCUGAUUCAAUUAGUGAAGGCCCCAUCUUAUCUAUUCGAUAUUCAUUAGAUGCAAAGUUUAUAGCAAUCCAAAGAUCUGAUCACGAGAUACAGUUCUGCAAUAGAGGAAGUGGGGAAACUUUUAGUCAGAUGUGCAAGUUAGAGUCAGAGAGCAUACUGGGUUUCUUUUGGACAGAUUGCCCAGUGUGUGAUAUUGUAUUUGUAAAGACCAGUGGGCUGGACUUGUUUGCUUACAAUUCUGAGUCAAAAUCACUCCAAUUGGUUGAGACAAAGAAAUUGAAUGUGAGUUGGUAUGUUUACACACAUGAAAGUCGCAUGGUUCUUCUUGCUUCAGGAAUGCAGUGCAAAACCUUCAAUGGUUUUCAGCUCUCAUCUGCAGGCAUUAUUCGUCUGCCAAAGUUUGAGAUGGCAAUGGCUAAAUCUGAGGCUAACAAUAAACCUGUCCUUGCUGCUGAAGAUAUUUUUAUAGUCACUGUCUAUGGCAGAAUAUACUGUCUGCAAGUUGAUAGGAUUGCAAUGCUCCUCCACUCUUACAGGUUUUACCGUGAUGUGGUUGUACAACAGGGUUCUUUGCCAAUUUAUUCAAGCAAGGUUGCUGUGAGUGUGGUUGAUAAUGUACUGCUUGUGCAUCAAGUUGAUGCGAAGGUUGUUAUACUGUAUGAUAUAUUUGCAGAUUCUCGGGCACCCAUAUCAGCCCCACUUCCUCUACUAUUCAGGGGUUUCCCCAGGUCUAAUUCUUCUUCCCUGAGAUCAAAUAGGGAAGAUAAUGAAAGUUCAGAAGUUAAUGUUUUAAGUGACCAUGAAGCAAUCGUCUACGGAGAUAAUUGGACUUUUCUUGUUCCUGAUCUCAUCUGUGAUGUUGCUAAUCAACUUUUGUGGAAGAUUCAUUUAGACUUGGAGGCAAUUUCUGCCAGUAGCUCAGAAGUACCAUCAGUACUUGAAUUCUUGCAACGGCGGAAGUUAGAAGCCAAUAAGGCUAAACAACUGUGCUUAUCAAUAGCACGCACUGUUAUUCUAGAACGCAGACCUGUGUCUACAGUGUCUCGGGCAUUAGAUGUUUUAGUUUCCUCCUACUCCCACUCUAUUAAGACAGGCACCUAUCUUAAGGGAAUAAAAUCUGCAAAAACAUCGCCUUCUGGUGAGCCACAGACGAGUGGCCCUAGAUCUAGUGCUGAUGUAUCCUCUAGAAGAGUAGACACAGUUGGGAAGUCCAUUAAAUUUGAAUAUGCUGCUGGAUUGGACAGUGAAUCGCCUAACAGAUUUUUAACCUAUUCAAAUUCCGACUCUGAGGAUAGUACAAGUUUUGAAGCCCCAAAGGCCACUUCAAAUAACUCUCAAUUGUUCGAUGGUAAAAUGGACAGGGGGAAGUUAACGGGUGCUGAAACUUCUGGCGGUGAAAUUCGGUCUUCAUCUUUGCAAUAUCAGGUUCUUAGAUCCGACAACAGCCCAUUGGAUGCUAAUGCUUCGCAGCAAGAAUCCCAACCGACCUCUCCAGUAAUUUCACCUGAUGAAAUGUACAGUUUUGUGUUCGCUCCUGUUGAGGAAGAGAUUAUUGGAGAACCUUCGUACUUGGUUGCCAUCAUUGUUGAGUUUCUUCGUAGUGCUAAUAUUGAAAAGGUUGAAGUCCAUCCUAAUCUCAAUGUCCUGACCGUACAAUUACUAUCACGCAGUGAGCGAUAUGCAGAACUUGGGCAGUUUGUCUUAAACAAGAUUCUUGAACCUUCUAAAGAAGUAGCAAUGCAACUCCUAGAGUCUGGCCGUCAGAACUCUCGAACAAGGAAGUUGGGUUUAGAUAUGCUGAGGCAGCUUUCUUUACACCAUGACUAUGUACUGUUACUAGUGCAAGAUGGAUAUUACCUUGAAGCAUUACGCUAUGCACGGAAGUACAAGGUCAGAACCAUUCGACCUUCGCUGUUUCUCGAGUCAGCAUGUACCUCCAGUGACUUGCAAAAUUUAGCUGCGGUCCUUAGAUUCUUUUCGGAUUUCAUUCCUGGAUUCAGAGACACAUCAGAUCACGACACUUACUACCGCAUUCUCAGCGAGAGGAACUCAUCCAUUGCUGCUUGAAGUUUUUCAUAGUAUGAAUGACUGGGGCAACUGAAUAAUGCCGUAAUUACCGAGGCCCUUAGAGCUGUGCAAGUUUUCAGAACUCCUUUUCGAAAGUACUACGUGAUUAGUUUCAGGUAGGCAGGUAGAGCCAGAUGAGAAUAUGCAUGUUUAAUUGGCUACAUUUGUUCCUUCCCUUUUGGAGUAAACAAGCAAAUAACAGUCCUCAAACACAAGUGCUACUAUAGCAAAACAUGUAUCACCAGAUACAAGACAAGACAAAGGAAUAGGAGAGUACAUGCUUUAUUAGGAGGACCACUUUGGAGUGCCAGAGAAGAGGACUUGGUUAUGAUCAAUUAAGCCAAGUGUAUGGCCGACUAAAGUGCAUGGACUUAAAACUUCUCUCAUCUACAUUUUGGUUUUCUCAAACAAGUACACUCUACCGUUUUGACACACUUGCAAACACCAAGGGAAAAAAAGUCAAGUUGCCCAUGUUGGAUUCCAAGAAAAUGAGAGUUUUGACAAAGGCUUGAAGCAAUAAUGUAGAGGAGAGUGAAUUAGAGCAAUAGUUACUGAAUUAUUUACUUUAGCCUCGAAAUUGAGUUUCUGUGUUUUAAGUUCACGAACGUCUUUAAUGUCUCA